RNAcentral lists this unclassified non-coding RNA (922 nucleotides) under Hevea brasiliensis (rubber tree). The record is from RNAcentral. Lineage: Eukaryota; Viridiplantae; Streptophyta; Magnoliopsida; Malpighiales; Euphorbiaceae.
UUAUGGUAAAUUCACUGAGUCGAAUUGGCCUUGCAAAGUAGCAUUGCCUGUUUCCAUGUUCCUGCAGAAAUAAUUUUAAUUUAUUGUGCUUAUUUUGCCUUAGUCACAUUCGUGCCUUGUCUUCCAUUUAUGCUACUGUAGAUAUCUCUUAUCCUACUUGGAAUUUCUUUAUAUUUUUAAUAUUUUUGUAAUGGUAACAUAGGUUCAUUAGGUAUAUUAUUAAACUAGAAAUUUGAUGCAUUAUAAUUAUAUUAUACAUUAAAAGUGAGUAUAGCUGCUACAAUAAAGCAGCUAGAGAGAGAUUAGUAAAAUGCCCUUGAUUUUUAGGCUGAUGUGCCAACUGAGUCCAAACGGCUCUUGCUACCACAAGUUUCAGCUGCUAAGUCCUUGAUACGUGUGGACUGUGGAAAGCAAGACAGGCGUUUAGCAAAUAAAAUUUGAUCAAAGUAUAGUAUAUAAGGAGACUCUAUAAUAUGUCAGGCAAAGGAGUCUUUCAUAUUUUCAAUUCGAGUUAUUGUUAAUGGCCUUUUGGCCUUUAUUCACUAGUCCAUGUUAUAUUCAAUAAAAUAUACUAUAUGGAAAGGUAUUGAUGUUGAAUGGACUUAUAUUGACUUUGUAAUUCCUACUAAAUUUGAUAGUAUUGUUGGGAGGAUUGAUCUCCCAUUAUCAUUGAUACUUAAACAUAGAAGACAUCUGCAUACAUUCCACUAUGAUAUGUUCUUCAUAAUACGGAUGACAUCAUGAAUUGGGCCCUUGCUAAUUUAAAACUUAAAACUUGAGGGCAAUUGUUCUUCCACUGCAGGGUAGUGAUACAAAUUAUGACAGGCCAAAUUCAAGGACCUCAUAUUUUGGAUAAUUAUUUUAUUUUCAGGUUCAUGAAACUUGGAAUUGAUUAAUAAGAGUUGGAUUUACUGCAUUUGGG